GAAUUUUCCGCAAUGGGGGGAACCCUGACGGAGCAACGCCGCGUGAGGGAAGAAUGGUUGUGGCCAGUAAACCUCUUUUAAUAGGGAAGAAUAUUGACGGUACCUAUUGAAUAAGCAUCGGCUAACUCCGUGCCAGCAGCCGCGGUAAUACGGAGGAUGCAAGCGUUAUCCGGAAUUAUUGGGCGUAAAGGGUCCGCAGGUGGUUGAUCAAGUCAGCUGUUAAAUACUCAGGCUUAACUUGGGAUGUGCAGAUGAAACUGAUGGACUAGAGUACGGAAGGGGUAGAGGGAAUUCCUAGUGUAGCGGUGAAAUGCGUAGAUAUUAGGAAGAACACCAGUGGCGAA
This 344-nucleotide ribosomal RNA is filed under the name uncultured cyanobacterium. RNAcentral's name for it is "bacterial SSU rRNA". It matches the Rfam family "Bacterial small subunit ribosomal RNA", at positions 359 to 719 of the family's 1533-position model. The record is from RNAcentral. Lineage: Bacteria; Bacillati; Cyanobacteriota.